Molecule: ribosomal RNA, 464 nt
Filed under: Vreelandella stevensii
Lineage: Bacteria; Pseudomonadati; Pseudomonadota; Gammaproteobacteria; Oceanospirillales; Halomonadaceae
Description: partial 16S ribosomal RNA
Rfam family: Bacterial small subunit ribosomal RNA
Source: RNAcentral
CCUCGGGAGGCUGCAGUGGGGAAUAUUGGACAAUGGGCGAAAGCCUGAUCCAGCCAUGCCGCGUGUGUGAAGAAGGCCUUCGGGUUGUAAAGCACUUUCAGUGGGGAAGAAAGCCUUGGGGCUAAUACCCUCGAGGAAGGACAUCACCCACAGAAGAAGCACCGGCUAACUCCGUGCCAGCAGCCGCGGUAAUACGGAGGGUGCGAGCGUUAAUCGGAAUUACUGGGCGUAAAGCGCGCGUAGGCGGUCUGAUAAGCCGGUUGUGAAAGCCCCGGGCUCAACCUGGGAACGGCAUCCGGAACUGUCAGGCUAGAGUGCAGGAGAGGAAGGUAGAAUUCCCGGUGUAGCGGUGAAAUGCGUAGAGAUCGGGAGGAAUACCAGUGGCGAAGGCGGCCUUCUGGACUGACACUGACGCUGAGGUGCGAAAGCGUGGGUAGCAAACAGGAUUAGAUACCCCGGUAGUC